CCCCCCCUCCCCCGCUGCUCCGACCUGGCUGCCCCGGAGUGGGCAGCCAGAUUGUUGGAAACACCCACAUCCUGGUUGGCUUGUUGCAACAAAACACGAUUGGCUGAACUUCAUUGUGUGGGCACAAAGCUGUUUUCAUCUGUUGUAUCGUCUAGGAUAUUUUAAGAGCUGAUCCAGGUGGUGAGCGAUGACUCUGGGGAUGAGCCAGAGAGUCAAGAUACCGAGGGUGCCAUGGGGCACAUGGGAAAAGAAGCCGGCAGCGUGGUGUUGGCGGCGGAUGGAGGUGCAGCUAAAGGUGACAGAAGGGGUGCCAAGCGAAAUCCGUGGAUCCCAGCAGAAGUGAAAGCUGUUGAACGUCACAUGAUUCGGUUCAUUCGCUCAUUCAAGGUGCCGGGCAAGAAUGACUGUGAUGCGUGCCUAAGGGCAGAACGACAAGCGCUGAAGGCUCGGAACUGGCUCUCGGUUAAGUUUUACAUUAAGAACCGAAUUACUGCUGAAAUGAGAAAGACCCUUUCCUGAAUAAAAUGUAUCUGC
This is a long non-coding RNA of Pseudophryne corroboree (corroboree frog), 534 nucleotides long. RefSeq lists it as uncharacterized. The record is from RefSeq and is a predicted model, not a curated record. The transcript is spliced from 4 exons. Lineage: Eukaryota; Metazoa; Chordata; Amphibia; Anura; Myobatrachidae.